Molecule: non-coding RNA, 31 nt
Filed under: Mus musculus (house mouse)
Lineage: Eukaryota; Metazoa; Chordata; Mammalia; Rodentia; Muridae
Source: RNAcentral
UGCUGACAAACACAUUUUACCCCCAUAGGAC